Eurytemora carolleeae is the source of this 874-nucleotide long non-coding RNA. RefSeq lists it as uncharacterized. NCBI's taxonomy places the organism in Eukaryota, Metazoa, Arthropoda, Copepoda, Calanoida, Temoridae. The record is from RefSeq and is a predicted model, not a curated record. The transcript is spliced from 2 exons.
UUUUUUCUGCAAAUGAUAUCUCAGUAAAGUAACACAGGACACUUUUCUAUUCUGAUCUACUGGGACCGGAUUUAAUGAAUUUGAGCUAGGUCGCUCAACUACCUACCGCCGAUUUAACUACUUAUCUGUAGUGCUGAGUGUAGUUUACAUCUAAGGACGUGGACAAAUCCUGAAUGACAGAUUUAAAAGAAGUGGUUGAACCGUCUGUAGACAUACAGAGUUACCAACAAAGGAUGAGACUUCAGACAAUACUGCACGGAAUUCAUGCCUUCUUUCUUUUCCAAAUCAUUAAAUAAGAGUAUACACAUUCAAGGCAGAAUUCUUAACAAAAACUUUGGAUAUUCAUAGUCACUCACUUAGAUUCUUCCUACACAUUGCUAUGAUUUCUUCGAUGCCUCCAACACAUUACUUCAAAAACUUUGAUUCCUCCGACGCAUUACUGCAAUAACUUUGAUUCCUCCAACACAUUACUGCAAUAAUUUUGAGUUCUCCGACCCCUUACUACAAUUACUUCGAUGCCUCCAACACAUUUAUACACUACUUCGAUGCCUCCACACAUUACUGGAAUAACUUUGAUUCCUCCAACACAGAAAGCUAUUUACUUUGAUUCCUCCAACACAUUUAGCUUUUCAUUUUAAUUCCUCCAACACAUUUAGCAUAUUUACUUUGAUUCCUCCAACACAUUGAGCUACCCUUUUGGCUCUAAAAAUCCCCUCGAAACUAGAGAUUUUUAGAGCCAAAAGUUUCUGCACAAAAAAAGUCAUCUUUGUUUUUUUCAUAAAAAUUCAUAAUGUUUUUUCUAGACUAUAAGGUAAUGAUAUUAUAGCUCAUUUGUUAAAGGAAUUCCUUAUUUUUUCAAAGAAAAUAAUUUUUU